UUCAUCUUCACCAUCUUCAUCUUCACUGCUCUAUACUCGGGGUGUCUCUUGUGGAGCGCGAGCGUCUCAUCGACCGCGUUCUCGGUGAUCGCGACGUUUAUGCUCCUGACGAAGUCGGGGCCGAUGGGCGAGUGGAGGAAGGCGAAGACGGAGGACAUCACAUCAAGAAACGAGUAAAAGGAGCGUCAGGAGACAGUUUCCAACGUCUGCAGCGUGAAACUGGAAGCGUGACAGAAAAAUGUCUGAAGGGACUCAGUAGAAGUAUUUCACAUAUUCUUUACUCACUGUUUGCAUGUACAGCACCCCGAGCUCCGGAGAACGUUUGACAGCAAAACGCCCGUUUGAUGACUGCAAAUGAAAAACCGACGAGAAGCGUCGAACACGAGGGCUGAAGAUUUUAAAACGCUUUGAAAUUCAAAUUGAAGCACUUAACCGUGAAAUCCAAAGCGUUAGCGCGGCGACGCAUCCAUCGAGAUUAAACCUCAAACUGAGGCUUUUAUUCUCUGGUGUGUUAACUUUUCACCAAAAUCAUGUUUGGAUUUUCCCGGAGUAUAAAAGUAUAUAGAAAUCAGACGAUGCUUGCUGUUAAAAUGCUGAAGGAGCUCAUUAACAUGGUGACACAAGUUACUGUAGUUUAGCUAUAAAACAUUUUAAAAGUAUCAAAUAUGAAACAUCUAAAUGUACCUGAUGUCUUUCUGAAAUAAUGUAAAAGUAUAUUCUAUUCUGGAGAACAGAUUCAGGUCCAACAGCAGCGAGCGUCGCUGUGAAGCCCCACUGCUUUUCAAAAUAAGAGCUGUGACUUUUAAAAAACAAAUGCACAAAGCACACACCUGAAGUUCUGGUUGAUCUACGUGGAGGUUGUUACCGCAGGAAGAUAAGGAUUCCGGAGGAAUGAAGAGUUUUAUUCCAAAAUGAAACAAGAACAAAGUAACUGUAAAGAUGCACUAGCUCCGAUUUUAUUGUGAAAAUCUGGCUUCCUGGAUAGAGUUGUGACACACAUUUAUGGUGUCUUUAAAAUGCAUCAUAAGAAGGAGGCGUUUAGUUUGUUGAUGUCACCUGAUCGACAGGUUGGUGGGCGGGGCCAAGGACCGUCAUAAUCCUACCUCAUUUAGAUUAACUAAUACUGAGAGUUAAAACUAAUCACGUGGUGUUCAUCUUCAAUAAACUUGAUGAAUUAAGUCGCGGGAUGAUAACAGUCAGUGAUGUUCCCUUGAGCAGCUUUAGAGUAGCAGGUAAUACAGCUCAUGUAUCUUCUGUAUUUCAUCCAGGCAGAGUUCUGUUCUCUGCAGCACUUUGCAGUAGAACUCUUCAUGUGUUUAGUGCCUUUAUAUCAGCCAGCAGUGCAGACGCACAGGACGUGUUCAGUGUUUGAUUCCUCCUGCAGGGGGCAGCAGACGGGGAGUUUACUGCCUUUGGAGAGGUUUUUUAGAUCUAUAAUAUAUUUGGCUUCUGACACGUUGUUACUGUGAGGACGAAUAUAAAACAGAUUACACUGUUUCAAAAACAAUACUGGUGGAAUAUUUAACAAGAAUAAAAAAUGCAAAGUGUGUGAAGCCACAGGUCCUGGAAAUAUCAGAUUUAUGAGGUUCAUUUUAAAGGAGUGUUUUAACGUCCUUUGAAAGUUGGCAUUGAGAUGGAUAUUAAUGUCUGUGAUGUGGUUAGCUUAGCUUAGCAUGCAGGGAGUGUGUUGGUUAAACUGAUGCUCCUACCACACUCCUCCCUUUUUAAACGUAUUUGUGAAUCGUCCAAAGCAAACGUAAUCCACGACAAAAUUCAGUUUCCUCUGAAAAGCGUAAUUCAUAACGCAGUUUUAAUGUCGGGGCAUUAAAAAACAUACAAACUCUCAACCUCCUGAGUCGGGUCUGCUUCCACGUGAGGGUUGAUGCUUCUUCAGGCAUAGUUCACUCUUAUUUUGAAACGGGGAUUAUAUGAGGAAGCAAUAAUUCUACUAUGAGCUGUGUUUUUAAAUCCUCCACAGUGAGACAAAUCAUUCCUCGUGCUGUAAUAGACGCGUUUAAAAACUAAACGCAUAAAAUGCCUGAUCAAUACAAACGCUUUGUGUUGAUCUGCGAUCGCUCUGAUUCCUGUUGGAGGAAAAGAAGUGUGGCUCAGAAAUGCUAAAGAGAAACAAGUACCGUAUGUCUUUAUAAGGUGUUUGACUCUAUAAAGCUUUAUUCUUUUCAAUCAUGUUCGGGCCUCAAACUAAGCCAGGCCUUUUAGAAACCCUGAAGCAGGAAGAGAUGAGCUGUGCUUUAGUCUCACAAAUCAACUCUUUCUGAGUGUAAAUGUUUUAAAUCUCUGUUUUUGUUUUAUCCAGAUCAAGCAAACAUAAAUUAGUUGUGAUAAUCAUGCCACGUUCAUGUCCUAUAGGAAUCACCGUGAUUACCAGUUUGUGACGUAAAAGACCCGCCGAGUGAAGCCAAAGCUUCAUGUGGUAAAGCUGCAUUCUCUCUAGUGUCCA
Long non-coding RNA from Anarrhichthys ocellatus (wolf-eel), 2461 nucleotides. RefSeq lists it as uncharacterized. The transcript has 4 exons. The record is from RefSeq and is a predicted model, not a curated record. NCBI's taxonomy places the organism in Eukaryota, Metazoa, Chordata, Actinopteri, Perciformes, Anarhichadidae.